This 354-nucleotide ribosomal RNA is filed under the name Nanos peyrierasi. RNAcentral's name for it is "partial 16S ribosomal RNA". Lineage: Eukaryota; Metazoa; Arthropoda; Insecta; Coleoptera; Scarabaeidae. The record is from RNAcentral.
ACCUGCCCUAUGAUUAAAAAUUAAAUGGCUGCGGUAUUUUGACCGUGCAAAGGUAGCAUAAUCAUUAGUUUUUUAAUUGGGAACUGGUAUGAAAGGUCGAACGAAAAAGAGACUGUCUCAAUUUAAUUUAAAUUAGAAUUUUAUUUUUAAGUAAAAAAGCUUAAAUAUAUUUAAAAGACGAGAAGACCCUAUAGAGUUUUAUACCUAGGUAUUUAUACAGGAAAUUAAAGGAUUGUUUUUUUUUUAUAAUUAUUGAAGUAUUUGGUUGGGGCGAUUAAAAAAUUUAAUAAACUUUUUUUAAAUUAUAACAUUGAUUUAUGAAUAAGUGAUCCAUAUUUAAUGAUUAGAAGAUUA